Molecule: ribosomal RNA, 1015 nt
Filed under: uncultured organism
Description: bacterial SSU rRNA
Rfam family: Bacterial small subunit ribosomal RNA
Source: RNAcentral
GCUAGCGGCGCGCUUAACGCAUGCAAGUCGAGCGAUGAGGCUCCUACGGGGAGUACAUCAGCGGCAGACGGGUGAGUAACACGUAGAUAACCUGCCCUCAAGACGGGGACAACCGGUGGAAACAGCGGCUAAUACCCGAUAUGCUCACAGGAUCGGGAGAUUGAGUGAGGAAAGGCUUCGGUGCUUGAGGAGGGAUCUGCGGCCCAUCAGCUAGUUGGUGAGGUAACGGCUCACCAAGGCGAAGACGGGUAGGGGGUGUGAGAGCAUGGCCCCCCACAAUGGGACUGAGACACGGCCCAUACUCCUACGGGAGGCAGCAGCGGGGAAUAUUGCGCAAUGGACGGAAGUCAGACGCAGCGACGCCGCGUGGGUGAGGAAGGCCUUCGGGUUGUAAAGCCCUUUUCAGGGGAGCGAGAAAGGACGGUACCCUUGGAAUAAGCGUCGGCUAACUACGUGCCAGCAGCCGCGGUAAGACGUAGGACGCAAGCGUUAUCCGGAUUUACUGGGCGUAAAGCGCCUGUAGGCGGUCAAGUAAGUCGGAUGUGAAAGCCCCGUGCUCAACGCGGGGAAGCCAUUCGAUACUGCGUGACUAGAGAACGGCAGAGGGAAACGGAAUUUCUGGUGUAGCGGUAAAAUGCGCAGAGAUCAGAAAGAACACCGAUGGCGAAGGCAGUUUCCUAGGCCGCAUCUGACGCUGAGAGGCGAAAGCUAGGGGAGCAAACAGGAUUAGAGACCCUGGUAGUCCUAGCUGUAAACGAUGGAUGCUAGGUGUGGGCCGGAAAGGUCCGUGCCGUAGUUAACGCGAUAAGCAUCCCGCCUGGGGAGUACGGCCGCAAGGCUAAAACUCAAACGAAUUGACGGGGACCCGCACAAGCAGCGGAGCGUGUGGUUUAAUNUCGAUGCUACACGCUAGAACCUUACCUGGGCUUGACAUGUAGGUGGUAGUGAAGUGAAAGCGGAGCGACCCUUCGGGGAGCCUACACAGGUUGCUGCAUGGCUGUCGUCAGCUCGUGCC